UCCCCCUUCUUCCAUCCCCCGGGUCUGGAGGGGUCCCUACAGAUCUUAAAAUGACCACACCGCGCCCUCCACCCCAGGGAAGGUUGACAUUCAGGGACGUGGCCAUCGAAUUCUCUCAGGAGGAGUGGAAAUGCCUGGACCCUGCUCAGAGGGCUUUGUACAGGGACGUGAUGUUGGAGAACUACAGGAACCUGGUCUCCCUGGAUGGAGUCUUGCACUGUCGCCCAGGUUGGAGUGCAUUGGCCCGAUCUUGGCUCACCACAACCUCCGCCUCCUGGAUUCCAGCAAUUCUGCCUCAGCCUCCCAAGUAGCUGGGACUACAGGCGCGUGCCACCACACCCGGUUAAUUUUUUGUAUUUUUUAGUAGAUACGGGGUUUCACCAUAUCGGCCAGGCUGGUCUCGAACUCCUGACCUCGUGAUCUGCCUGCCUCAGCCUCCCAAAGUGCUGGGAUUACAGGCUUGAGCUCCUGCGCCCAGCCCAUGCUAAGUCUUUUACCCAGUGGUCAAAACUGGCACAACACAGGAUUUAUACUGGAGAGCAACCUCACAAAUGUAAUGAAAGUGGUAAGGCUUUUUAUCAAAUGUCCUUGUCUUUGGGGUCAUGAGAAAAUUCAUACAGAAUCUAUUAAAAAUGUACUAAACAUGGAAAGACCUUUAAGCAACAGUGAUGUGAUGAAGGUGGUAGUUUUUUAAAUGAACUCCCAUAAGAGUCUACACACCAUAGAACUCAUACCAGGAAUCACAAAGUCUCUAAAUUUCCAAAGUUAACUGGAAAUAUUACAAACUGCAGAAUAAUUCCAGGCCAAAAUAUGUUAAAUUCAUAACAUGAUGUAUAUCAAAGGAAAAAAGGACAUGUGGAAAUGACACAUUAUCUUCAGUGUAUAAAAUAUUCAUUUAUGUGAAGUUUCUUGGAAAGGCUACACUACUAUUACUGGUUUCCGUCUGAUGUUUGAGAUCUGUUGAUUUUAUGCUUUUCUUACAGGCCUUUCAUUAUGAUCUUUGGGAAGGAAUCAAUAAAAUGAUAGGGCCUACUUCAUUAGGUGUGGUUCAUUCCUAUUCAUGCUCCCUGGAAGAACAAGAAUGCUGAAUUUUGAAAUUUAAUAUUGUAUGAAUUAGCAUCAGGGAGAGGUGGAGAAAAAUACAAAACUAAAAGUCAUGCUUAUUGUGUUCAGUGUGCCCUUCUCCAGAGGGCCACUGGCUUAUAGGAAAGGAUUGCUGCUCUACCAGUUGACCAGGAGAUGGCACGCCAGGACAUUAAGACACUGGAGUUUUGUUUCGUUUUUUUUUUUUUUUUGAGAUGGAGUCUCGCUCUCUUGACAGGCAGGAGUACAGUGGUGCGAUCUCGGCUCACUGCAAACUCCGCCUCCCGGGUUCAAGUGAUUCUCCUGCCUCAGCCUCCCGAGUAGCUGGGACUACAGGCGUGUGCCACCACCCCCAGCUAACUUUUGUAUUUUUAGUAGAGACAGGGUUUCACCAUGUUAGCCAGGAUGGUCUCAAUCUCUUGACCUCAUGAUCCGCCCGCCUCCGCCUUCCAAAGUGCUGGGAUUACAGGCGUGAGCCAGUGUGCCCGGCCGACACUGGGCUUUUUAUGAGAGUGACAGAUUACUAGGACCUCAUUAUGUGGUAGAAGUAAUGUAGGGGAAAUGGCGAUUAUCUUUUUUUAAAAGCAAUAGCUGUUGUAUAUCAAUGAUAAAUGAAAAAUUAGUUAUUCUUGUAAAUUGAAGAAAGAAUGGUUAUCAUAGAGGGUAGUUCAAGUAAAAGAACCAGGGCUGGGUGUGGUGGCUCACGUUCUGUAAUCCCUGUACUUUGGGAGGCCAAGGCAGAUGGAUCUCUUGAGGCCAGGAGUUCGAGACCAGCCUGACCAACAUGGCAAAACCGUGUCUCUACAAAAAAUACAAAAAUUAGCCGGACAUCGUGGUAGAUGCCUGUAAUCUCAGAUAUUCAGGAGACCGAGGGGAAAAUCACUUGAACCCGGGAGACGGAGGUUGCAGUGAGCUGAGAUCGCACCACUGCUCGCCAGCCUGGGCAACAGAGUGAGACUCUGCCUCAAAAAAAAACCAAACCAAACCAAAGAACCAGAAUAGCAUGUGCACAUAUACACAGACGUUUCACAACUGGCAUUAUGUUUUGCUACUGUUUUAUUUACAAUGUAUCACAAGUUUUAUGCUUUAAUAAAAU
Molecule: long non-coding RNA, 2179 nt
Filed under: Homo sapiens (human)
Lineage: Eukaryota; Metazoa; Chordata; Mammalia; Primates; Hominidae
Description: LHRI_LNC392.9
Source: RNAcentral